Long non-coding RNA from Coregonus clupeaformis (lake whitefish), 519 nucleotides. RefSeq lists it as uncharacterized. The transcript is spliced from 4 exons. The record is from RefSeq and is a predicted model, not a curated record. Lineage: Eukaryota; Metazoa; Chordata; Actinopteri; Salmoniformes; Salmonidae.
UGCCAAAGAUUGGAGCAUUCUAAGUGCAUGCUCUGUCUAGCAUUGGCAUUGCUUCAAGCUCGACUGUGUCGGUCAGCCUAAACAUCGAUGCAAGCAAAAGAUGCCCAUGCAGAGUCCAGAGGAAAAGACACCUGAAGAGGGCCAGGAUGCUUGUCCCAGCACUCCUGUGAAAGGAAAAGAUAGCUCACCUUUACAGAGUACCAGCAGUCUUAGAUCUAUUGGUUCGAUGUCUAAGGUUGCGCUUUUGGAGGAAAAGAUUAAGUGGCAGGAAAGAAUGAUUAAAUAACUGGACAGACGGAAUGCCAUUUCCUUAGGGAACAGCUGAAGGGGAAUGGGGAAGGAAAAAAGCCACCUGGUGAGGGACAUUUAACCCCUUGAAAACAUCUCUUAACCUCUUAAAAAUGUGGCGUAACAAAAAGGUAGCCCCACCAUCCACCAGGCAUCAUAUAUGAGGUAAGGAUUACUUCCUUUCAAGAAAACCUUGCACAAUUGUUGUGCUGGUCUUGCCCACUUUGACAU